AUACGGAGGGGGCAAGCGUUAUUCGGAUUUACUGGGCGUAAAGCGCGCGUAGGCGGUCUGUUUAGUCAGGCGUGAAAUCCCUGGGCUCAACCCAGGAACUGCGUUUGAAACUGGCGGACUAGAGUUCGGGAGAGGAGAGUGGAAUUCCCAGUGUAGAGGUGAAAUUCGUAGAUAUUGGGAAGAACACCAGUGGCGAAGGCGGCUCUCUGGACCGAUACUGACGCUGAGGUGCGAAAGCGUGGGGAGCAAACAGGAUUAGAAACCCCAGUAGUCC
This 274-nucleotide ribosomal RNA is filed under the name uncultured bacterium. RNAcentral describes it as "partial 16S ribosomal RNA". It matches the Rfam family "Bacterial small subunit ribosomal RNA", at positions 523 to 796 of the family's 1533-position model. The record is from RNAcentral.